CGGAAAGGCCCUUCGGGGUACUCGAGCGGCGAACGGGUGAGUAACACGUGAGCAACCUGCCCCAGGCUCUGGGAUAACCCUCGGAAACGGGGGCUAAUACCGGAUAGGACCUUUCACCGCAUGGUGGGGGGUGGAAAGUUUUUUCGGCCUGGGAUGGGCUCGCGGCCUAUCAGCUUGUUGGUGGGGUGACGGCCUACCAAGGCGACGACGGGUAGCCGGCCUGAGAGGGCGACCGGCCACACUGGGACUGAGACACGGCCCAGACUCCUACGGGAGGCAGCAGUGGGGAAUAUUGCGCAAUGGGCGGAAGCCUGACGCAGCGACGCCGCGUGGGGGAUGACGGCCUUCGGGUUGUAAACCUCUUUCAGCAUCGACAAAGCCUUUUUGGGUGACGGUAGGUGCAGAAGAAGCGCCGGCUAACUACGUGCCAGCAGCCGCGGUAAGACGUAAGGCGCAAGCGUUGUCCGGAUUUAUUGGGCGUAAAGAGCUCGUAGGCGGCC
Molecule: ribosomal RNA, 500 nt
Filed under: uncultured Actinomycetes bacterium
Lineage: Bacteria; Bacillati; Actinomycetota; Actinomycetes
Description: bacterial SSU rRNA
Rfam family: Bacterial small subunit ribosomal RNA
Source: RNAcentral